CCCUCAUCCAAAGACAUGUCAGUGGUUCCCUGUCUUUGGACACGUAAGAAUUGAGGCAAAGAAAUGUGAAUUUUGAGAAAUCUGAGGGCAGCUUGCUCCCUGCAGGCUCAAGAUCAACAUCCCAUAUAG
Molecule: small nucleolar RNA, 129 nt
Organism: Eptesicus fuscus (big brown bat)
Lineage: Eukaryota; Metazoa; Chordata; Mammalia; Chiroptera; Vespertilionidae
Product: small nucleolar RNA SNORA38
Exons: 1
Source: RefSeq, a predicted model, not a curated record